This 297-nucleotide long non-coding RNA is filed under the name Elaeis guineensis (African oil palm). RNAcentral describes it as "long non-coding RNA (EGUI_LNC008633)". Lineage: Eukaryota; Viridiplantae; Streptophyta; Magnoliopsida; Arecales; Arecaceae. The record is from RNAcentral.
UAUAGUCCCUCCAGUGCCGGCAUCUCCCCCACCUGUGGUUUCUCCGCCCGCUGCUCCAACAUCUCGUCAGGAGACUAGGGGUCAGCUUUCUCCCGUGCAGCCUCCCACCACCGUUGCUGGGCCAAGCAGCGUGUGUUCUCCUCCUGGGAUGACGGAUCCAGAUGCUCGUCUCGUCUUCAUUCCUAAGGAUGCGAUCUUUGAUGAUUGGAGAGUCAUCAAGGAGUUGAUCGAAAGGAUAAUACUGCCUCAGGAGAUAAGGAGCAUUAGCCUGAUGAACCUCAGUGCUUGGCAGCAAUU